RNAcentral lists this ribosomal RNA (492 nucleotides) under uncultured bacterium. Its description in RNAcentral is "bacterial SSU rRNA". It matches the Rfam family "Bacterial small subunit ribosomal RNA", at positions 34 to 518 of the family's 1533-position model. The record is from RNAcentral.
CGCUGGCGGCGUGCCUAACACGAUGCAAGUCGAGCGGAGAUGAUGUGAGGAAGUUUCGGAUGGAAUCACAGUUAUUUAGCGGCGGACGGGUGAGUAACGCGUGAGCGACCAACCUUGCACGGGGGGAUAACGGACCGAAAGGUUCACUAAUACCGCAUGAGACCACGGUGUUGCAUGACACAGGGGUCAAAGGAGCAAUCCCGGUGCAAGACGGGCUCGCGUCCGGAUUACGGUAGUUGGUGGGGUAAUGGCCCACCAAGCCUAUGAUCGGUAGCCGACCUGAGAGGGUGAUCGGCCACAUUGGAACUGAGAUACGGUCCAAACUCCUACGGGAGGCAGCAGUGGGGAAUAUUGGGCAAAAUGGGGGAAACCCUGACCCAGCAACGCCGCGUGAAGGAAGAAGGUUUUCGGAUUGUAAACUUCUGUCCUUGGUGAAGAGAAGAAGACGGUAGCCAAGGAGGAAGCCCCGGCUAACUACGUGCCAGCAGCCGC